Molecule: ribosomal RNA, 468 nt
Filed under: uncultured bacterium
Lineage: Bacteria
Description: partial 16S ribosomal RNA
Rfam family: Bacterial small subunit ribosomal RNA
Source: RNAcentral
GACGAACGCUGGCGGCGUGCUUAACACAUGCAAGUCGAACGGAAAGGCCCUGCUUUUGUGGGGUGCUCGAGUGGCGAACGGGUGAGUAACACGUGAGUAACCUGCCCUUGACUUUGGGAUAACUUCAGGAAACUGGGGCAAAUACCGGAUAGGAGCUCCUGCUGCAUGGUGGUGGUUGGUAAGUUUCGGCGGUUGGGGAUGGACUCGCGGCUUAUCAGCUUGUUGGUGGGGUAGUGGCUUACCAAGGCUUUGACGGGUAGCCGGCCUGAGAGGGUGACCGGCCACAUUGGGACUGAGAUACGGCCCAGACUCCUACGGGAGGCAGCAGUGGGGAAUAGUGCACAAUGGGCGGAAGCCUGAUGCAGCAACGCCGCGUGCGGGAUGACGGCCUUCGGGUUGUAAACCGCUUUCGCCUGUGACGAAGCGUGAGUGACGGUAAUUGGUAAAAAAGCACCGGCUAACUACGUG